ACUCCUACGGGAGGCAGCAGUGGGGAAUCUUGCGCAAUGGGCGAAAGCCUGACGCAGCCAUGCCGCGUGAAUGAUGAAGGUCUUAGGAUUGUAAAAUUCUUUCACCGGGGGACGAUAAUGACGGUACCCGGAGAAGAAGCCCCGGCUAACUUCGUGCCAGCAGCCGCGGUAAUACGAAGGGGGCUAGCGUUGCUCGGAAUUACUGGGCGUAAAGGGAGCGUAGGCGGACUGUUUAGUCAGAGGUGAAAGCCCAGGGCUCAACCUUGGAAUUGCCUUUGAUACUGGCAGUCUUGAGUACGGAAGAGGUAUGUGGAACUCCGAGUGUAGAGGUGAAAGUUCGUAGAUAUUCGGAAGAACACCAGUGGCGAAGGCGACAUACUGGUCCGUUACUGACGCUGAGGCUC
RNAcentral lists this ribosomal RNA (404 nucleotides) under uncultured bacterium. RNAcentral describes it as "bacterial SSU rRNA". It matches the Rfam family "Bacterial small subunit ribosomal RNA", at positions 335 to 754 of the family's 1533-position model. The record is from RNAcentral.